UUGUCAUCUCAGCCUUAUGGUUAAAAUCAAGUAUAGUAUCUGUUCUGAUCAAUUUAAUGUCUGAUAUGUUUUUUAUCUGAAGACAAUAUAUUAAAUUUUGAAAGUACUCUAA
Peromyscus maniculatus bairdii (prairie deer mouse) is the source of this 112-nucleotide small nuclear RNA. Its record names the gene U2. It matches the Rfam family "U2 spliceosomal RNA". From Rfam's summary of the family: U2 is a small nuclear RNA (snRNA) component of the spliceosome (involved in pre-mRNA splicing). Complementary binding between U2 snRNA (in an area lying towards the 5' end but 3' to hairpin I) and the branchpoint sequence (BPS) of the intron results the bulging out of an unpaired adenosine, on the BPS, which initiates a nucleophilic attack at the intronic 5' splice site, thus starting the first of two transesterification reactions that mediate splicing. The record is from Ensembl. Lineage: Eukaryota; Metazoa; Chordata; Mammalia; Rodentia; Cricetidae.